Molecule: ribosomal RNA, 253 nt
Filed under: uncultured bacterium
Lineage: Bacteria
Description: partial 16S ribosomal RNA
Rfam family: Bacterial small subunit ribosomal RNA
Source: RNAcentral
UACGGGGGGGGCAAGCGUUGUUCGGAAUUACUGGGCGUAAAGGGCUCGUAGGCGGCCAACUAAGUCAGACGUGAAAUCCCUCAGCUUAACUGGGGAACUGCGUCUGAUACUGGAUGGCUCGAGUGUGGGAGAGGAAUGCGGAAUUCCAGGUGUAGCGGUGAAAUGCGUAGAUAUCUGGAGGAACACCGGUGGCGAAGGCGGCAUCCUGGACCAACACUGACGCUGAGGAGCGAAAGCCAGGGGAGCAAACGGG